This is a long non-coding RNA of Fundulus heteroclitus (mummichog), 1712 nucleotides long. RefSeq lists it as uncharacterized. The record is from RefSeq and is a predicted model, not a curated record. The transcript is spliced from 3 exons. Lineage: Eukaryota; Metazoa; Chordata; Actinopteri; Cyprinodontiformes; Fundulidae.
CCUAUGCUUCACUGUUGACCUGCCUUCAUGUUGAGUUUAUGGCUAAUCCCUGGGAGUGACUGGUGCUGCUCCUUGGGCGCUGCUGCAACCUCUGGGAGCAAAAGGCUACGUGCCCCUUGCUGCUAUUUGGUGUGGAGGGCUGCUAGCUUUCUACUCUUCUCAUCAAUGUCAUAUCUUCCCAAGUCCAGUGGGAGCUGUGACACCUGCGCUGAUCCUGAUUACCUGAAUGGAGCUCGCUGAUUCUUCUGCCUACAUACACCUGCCUCACAUAACCAGUCUCCACCAGAUUCCUAAAACACCAUGGUGUGAGUAGAGCAUCUAGUGGUCUCUGAUUGCCUUGCUAGUUGUGACCUUGCCCCUGUCCGACUGUGGCUUCAGAUUUUUGGACAUCAACCUCCUGAUUUGCCUCCUGACCAAGCCUUUUGGCUUGCUUUUUUAGUUAUCUCUGCCUGCCUCUGCCUUCAGUUCUGACCCACGCCCAGACUCAGGAUUUUUGUCUUCUUCUGAUCUGCCCGCUUCACCCAACCAAGCACCCAGUCGGAGCUCUCAGAGCCACAGAUCAGUUUCAGUGCAGCCUUCCAGAUUCUGAGAAGUGGUUCCUCUGUGCACUCCCGGCAGUUUCCAGGCAGUGCUCAUCAUACUUAUUUUAAAUACAUUCUUUAAAUCCACUCAUGUUGCCUGGCUGAAUUAUUGAGUCCCAAGUCUUGCCAUUACAACUACUUACUCAUGCUCUGGGUACAGCCUAGAAAAUCACCAGUCCAUUACAGGACCAACAAAUGGGAUUAAUAUUUAAAUACAAAAACUAAAUAUUUACAUCACCAUUAAUUGACACAUUUGCUGCAUAACCACUGAUUUAAUUUUUCUCUCUAAACUGUGGCUUGUUUGAUCAACUUGCAUUUUUAGAUUUUGAAAUAUUUAAUUUUCUCUGUAUUUUACUUCACUUGUUUACAUGUAUCGGAACUUUGUGUAAUCUGCCUUUUAAAAAAGGGUUUGCAAAAUCAUCCCAACAUUUUAUUACAUUUCAGCCUCAUAUGCGAAAGCACAUCCAAAGAUUUCAUGCUACUGAAAGCUAUUUCAAAACUCUGCUUCAGACAUGAAUUGGUCCUGACAAGUAUAAAAAUCAAAAUGCAAAACCAAAACCAAAUUUUGCCAGUUUUUGCCUGAAGAGAAAGGGCAAACAAGUGAGAUCGGUAUGAACUACUUAUUAUAUGCAUCAUUGUUAGACAGAUUUAAUUAGAGUGCUGGAGAUGAACAAAAACAGUCAGCGUUAUAAAAAUGAAAAAUCUGUGUGCUUGUUAACAGAGCAGGAAGGAAAAAUAUUUCAUCACUUAAUUUUUUCCCCGUAAAUUUUUCAAACCAAUUUCAAACAAAUUUAUUGAACAAAGCCCACAGAAUAAAGGCUUUACUUCACUCAUUAAAUAUUGAAUGUUGCUGAAAGGUUACAUUUCCUAUGGUUUCUAAAUGACCAGUUUUAGGCUUUAAUGAACAUGCCAUCGGAUUAAACAAGGGGUUUAAAAUUUUAAUUCAUGAGGAGGGCCUGGGAUCUCUUGGCUCCUCAAUAAUUCACGCUACUCUGAAGGUGUUAGAGCUCAUUUAAAAUCAUGAAAUUCAGCUAUUUUGUUGCUUUAAAGAAAAUUAAAGUCAACAUUUUGGGGUGUUAUUUUGUAACUACAUACAUUUACGCAAACUGCAAAGGAAAAUGUGUUUUUAUU